GGUUUCGUGGUGUAGUUGGUUAUCACGUCAGUCUAACAGAACUUACAAAAAAGAGGUCUGUGAUCACUGAAGGUCUCCGGUUCAAGUCCGGGCGAAAUCA
Molecule: non-coding RNA, 100 nt
Organism: Xylaria digitata
Lineage: Eukaryota; Fungi; Ascomycota; Sordariomycetes; Xylariales; Xylariaceae
Source: the annotation of a GenBank genome assembly